Molecule: transfer RNA, 87 nt
Filed under: Microbacterium phage A3Wally
Lineage: Duplodnaviria; Heunggongvirae; Uroviricota; Caudoviricetes
Also listed under: 1 other name
Description: tRNA-Ala
Rfam family: tRNA
About the family: Transfer RNA (tRNA) molecules are approximately 80 nucleotides in length. Their secondary structure includes four short double-helical elements and three loops (D, anti-codon, and T loops).
Source: RNAcentral
GGCGAGUUACCCAAGUGGUUUAAGGGGACGGUUUGCUAAACCGUUAGCGGGUCACACCGGCACGGGUUCGAAUCCCGUACUCGCCGC